UACGUAGGUGGCGAGCGUUAUCCGGAAUUACUGGGUGUAAAGGGUGCGUAGGCGGGCUUUUAAGUCAGCGGUAAAAUCGAGGGGCUCAACCCCUUUAAGCCGUUGAAACUGGUGAUCUUGAGUGGGCGAGAAGUAUGCGGAAUGCGUGGUGUAGCGGUGAAAUGCAUAGAUAUCACGCAGAACUCCGAUUGCGAAGGCAGCAUACCGGCGCCCGACUGACGCUGAGGCACGAAAGCGUGGGGAUCGAACAGG
RNAcentral lists this ribosomal RNA (252 nucleotides) under uncultured Bacteroidales bacterium. RNAcentral describes it as "partial 16S ribosomal RNA". It matches the Rfam family "Bacterial small subunit ribosomal RNA", at positions 524 to 776 of the family's 1533-position model. Lineage: Bacteria; Pseudomonadati; Bacteroidota; Bacteroidia; Bacteroidales. The record is from RNAcentral.